Molecule: long non-coding RNA, 1167 nt
Filed under: Neodiprion lecontei (redheaded pine sawfly)
Lineage: Eukaryota; Metazoa; Arthropoda; Insecta; Hymenoptera; Diprionidae
Description: uncharacterized LOC124294236, transcript variant X1
Source: RNAcentral
GCAAAUGUAUGAUCGUACAGUCAAAGAACUCCAGAAGUAGUAACUGAUUUCAAGUUUUGCAGACUGAGCAAAUUAAAAUACCUGUAUCUUCAAUGGUAACCGGUUUAUUGGCAACAUUUGUCGCGAGUGGGGCAAUAAAGCAAGAUAUGUUUACAUACACUCAUUGAUAAGCAAGUAAACAGUGUAGUUUUUUCUUGAAAUAUUAAGGUAAGAAACGUAAGGUAAAACUGAAAGAUCUUGACAGAAGAGGUGAAUAGAAUAACAUUUAAUAAUCUCUUCCCUGUAACCGUUAGCCGUCAACUGAAGAGAACGGCGAAUUUAUUCAAACAUGUCACGGCUAAAUGCCAGUUGUAUAAAUCGAGAGAUAGCUGACCGCUAAAUUUUACUCUUGGCCCAUAUAUGUGAUGCAAAUAUACUUCAUCAGCUUUACCCCCCUACCACCAUGAAAUCGGCAAUACAAGGAUUCUGAUAACAAAUAACGCGGCUGUCUGAUCGCUCUUUCUUCCUUGCUUCGCCGAUUUUCGCAGCUUCACAGACGGUGUCCGGAAGCUUUAUCCCCAAUAUUUCCGGAAAGCUCAGGGACAAAAAACUCGCUGAGAUGCCCAUCACCCCGUAUAAUAUGAAAGGUAGCGACUUCAUAUAGUGGGCCUGUAAGAAAAACAAACAAUCGGGGUUAAUUCCGUUUCGAAACUAAUUUAUUUGCCAACUAAUCAUAGGCUUGGAAAUAUAAACUUCAGGAGGUUGUUACAGCCGACAAUACCAGUACUCACUAGCAAUGGCGUUUGCGGAGCUGACAUAGACCCGAUACGUCCAACCAUACUGCACAGGCCGAGAAGUGAGUGACGAAGUGACGUAGGAAACAUCUCCGUUGUGUACAUGUAUAUCAAGUGUAAAUCGGGUCACGUAAUUGGUUCUAUGUCAAUUAGGCCAACCUGCAGGAAUGAAGAUUGUGAUGAUGCAGAAUAUUCCGCUCAAAAAAAAAGUUAGGCUGAGCGUCGGUUUGCGUCCAAGGUAAUCUGCGAGGAUCCACGCAACAAAUAGAGCCGGAAUUUCAACCAGGCUCACCAAAAUAAAAUUGAUGUACUUGUCUCCGGGCACAUAGAUCGAACCCAAUGACAAUCCGUAGUAAACGAAUACGUUAGCCACCCAGCAAUAAGUGCAAAUGAU